This 253-nucleotide ribosomal RNA is filed under the name uncultured bacterium. Its description in RNAcentral is "partial 16S ribosomal RNA". It matches the Rfam family "Bacterial small subunit ribosomal RNA", at positions 524 to 776 of the family's 1533-position model. The record is from RNAcentral.
UACGGAGGAUGCAAGCGUUAUCCGGAAUGAUUGGGCGUAAAGCGUCCGCAGGUGGCUGUGUAAGUCUGCUGUCAAAGAGCGAAGCGCAACUUCGUAAAGGCAGUGGAAACUACACGGCUAGAGUGCGUUCGGGGCAGAGGGAAUUCCUGGUGUAGCGGUGAAAUGCGUAGAGAUCAGGAAGAACACCGGUGGCGAAGGCGCUCUGCUAGGCCGCAACUGACACUGAGGGACGAAAGCUAGGGGAGCGAAUGGG